Molecule: ribosomal RNA, 465 nt
Filed under: uncultured bacterium
Lineage: Bacteria
Description: partial 16S ribosomal RNA
Rfam family: Bacterial small subunit ribosomal RNA
Source: RNAcentral
GACGAACGCUGGCGGCGUGCUUAACACAUGCAAGUCGAACGGAAAGGCCCUGCUUUUGUGGGGUGCUCGAGUGGCGAACGGGUGAGUAACACGUGAGUAACCUGCCCUUGACUUUGGGAUAACUUCAGGAAAUUGGGGCUAAUACCGGAUAGGAGCUCCUGCUGCAUGGUGGGGGUUGGUAAGUUUCGGCGGUUGGGGAUGGACUCGCGGCUUAUCAGCUUGUUGGUGGGGUAGUUGCUUACCAAGGUUUUGACGGGUAGCCGGCCUGAGAGGGUGACCGGCCACAUUGGGACUGAGAUACGGCGCAGACUACUACGGGAGGCAGCAGUGGGGAAUAUUGCACAAUGGGCGGAAGCCUGAUGCAGCAACGCGGCGGGCGGGAUGACGGCCUUCGGGUGGUAAACCGCUUUCGCCUGUGACGAAGCGUGAGUGACGGUAAUGGGUAAAGAAGCACCGGCUAACUAC